AGAGUUUGAUCCUGGCUCAGGACGAACUCUGGCGGCGUGCUUAACACAUGCAAGUCGAACGGAGCACCCCUGAAGGAGUUUUCGGACAACGGAAGGGAAUGCUUAGUGGCGGACUGGUGAGUAACGCGUGAGGAACCUGCCUUCCAGAGGGGGACAACAGUUGGAAACGACUGCUAAUACCGCAUGAUGUGUUUUGAUGGCAUCAUUGAGACACCAAAGAUUUAUCGCUGGAAGAUGGCCUCGCGUCUGAUUAGCUAGUAGGCGGGGUAACGGCCCACCUAGGCGACGAUCAGUAGCCGGACUGAGAGGUUGACCGGCCACAUUGGGACUGAGAUACGGCCCAGACUCCUACGGGAGGCAGCAGUGGGGAAUAUUGGGCAAUGGGCGCAAGCCUGACCCAGCAACGCCGCGCGAAGGAAGAAGGCUUUCGGGUUGUAAACUUCUUUUAAGAGGGAAGAGAAGAAGACGGUACCUCUUGAAUAAGCCACGGCUAACUACGUGCCAGCAGCCGCGGUAAUACGUAGGUGGCAAGCGUUGUCCGGAUUUACUGGGUGUAAAGGGCGUGCAGCCGGGCUGACAAGUCAGAUGUGAAAUCCCGCGGCUCAACCGCGGAACUGCAUUUGAAACUGUCAGUCUUGAGUACCGGAGAGGUCAUCGGGAUUCCUUGUGUAGCGGUGAAAUGCGUAGAUAUAAGGAAGAACACCAGUGGCGAAGGCGGAUGACUGGACGGCAACUGACGGUGAGGCGCGAAAGCGUGGGGAGCAAACAGGAUUAGAUACCCUGGUAGUCCACGCUGUAAACGAUCGAUACUAGGUGUGCGGGGACUGACCCCCUGCGUGCCGCAGUUAACACAAUAAGUAUCGCACCUGGGGAGUACGAUCGCAAGGUUGAAACUCAAAGGAAUUGACGGGGGCCCGCACAAGCGGUGGAUUAUGUGGUUUAAUUCGAUGAUACGCGAGGAACCUUACCCGGGCUUGAAUUGCAGAUGACGGAUCCAGAGAUGGUGACUUCCUUCGGGACAUCUGUGAAGGUGCUGCAUGGUUGUCGUCAGCUCGUGCCGUGAGGUGUCGGCUUAAGUGCCAUAACGAGCGCAACCCCUUUCGUCAGUUGCCAUCGGGUAAUGCCGGGCACUCUGGAGAGACUGCCCGGGAUAACCGGGAGGAAGGCGGGGAUGACGUCAAAUCAUCAUGCCCCUUAUGAUCAGGGCUACACACGUGCUACAAUGGCGUAAACAAAGGGAAGCGAGACGGUGACGUUGAGCAAAUCCCAGAAAUAACGUCCCAGUUCGGAUUGUAGUCUGCAACCCGACUACAUGAAGCUGGAAUCGCUAGUAAUCGCGAAUCAGAAUGUCGCGGUGAAUACGUUCCCGGGUCUUGCACACAACGCCCGUCA
Molecule: ribosomal RNA, 1392 nt
Filed under: uncultured bacterium
Lineage: Bacteria
Description: bacterial SSU rRNA
Rfam family: Bacterial small subunit ribosomal RNA
Source: RNAcentral